RNAcentral lists this long non-coding RNA (1235 nucleotides) under Sinocyclocheilus anshuiensis. RNAcentral describes it as "lncRNA (ENSSANG00000011311.1)". Lineage: Eukaryota; Metazoa; Chordata; Actinopteri; Cypriniformes; Cyprinidae. The record is from RNAcentral.
CGUUAGACAUGUUUGCGCUUAACACACAUGGUCGUUUUCUGUUGUAGGCGACAUUACUCUCCAGGAGAUAUGCAUUGCAAUGAGGUGGUGAACAGGCCUCUACAGAUUCCUGACAGAAUCACGUAUCCUCUACUGAAUGCGGAAAGUGAGGAGAGGUUUCCUGUGUACAAAUCUCGCGCUCACCGAAUGGACAUGACAUCGGAGGAAGAGCUCGGAGCCUCUGGGAGACGAGAGCCUUACCUGAGGAGGGACAGAGUUUUAGGAGAUACGAUGAACCCUGAAGGAACCACACAAGCUAAUUUUAAGAAGCCGUCAGAACUGUCACGGAGCAAGACUUUCAGCACUUUGAGCGACAUUCUUAAGCGGGUCAAUGCACGUGCGAGUUCCUCAGGACAGCAGAGGACAGACAACCCGGCGCCGGGCGUCAGCAAAUCCACACUGGACCUCAAUUUACAGCGUUCAGACACGGCAUCAAACGCUCGAACCACCAACUGUGAUAAUCUGCCCCUGACUCCAGCUCUGGCACUUAUGAAAAAGAGAAAUGAUGAGAUUAAAUCGGGACUGUUGAGGAGCAUGCCCAGUGUGUUCACACCGGGACUCAGAACUCCCAACUUUGGCCUGCAGAGGGAGACAUGGAGGUCUCCGUUCAGAAGCCAUAGAAGUGAGGAGGAGCACUGAUAUUAUGCAGGAAACCCCAGACAAUGACAUCAACAGUGUUACAAUAAUUCCCACAUAUUGAAAUAUGUAAAUGUCACUGUAAUAAACAGGGCUGCAGGUAAAAGGGGAUUUUCCUGCUUACAGAGAAUAAAUAUUUAUCAGCAGUGAUGUUACAUUUGAAAAAUAAGGCUAUUAAUACAUGCCUGAUUUAAAUGUGUUAUUGAAAGAUGAGAUGGACUGUCUUUGAAUUUUAAAGGCCAAGUGUUUAUACUGCCUACCGUUUAACAUUUUAACUAGAUUUAUAAAAUCGAAUACCACAAAGAAUUUUAGAGGCUAGCUCGUUUUAUUUAACUAUGCUGUUUAAAGUCAGCAUGAAAUUGUUUGCAGUUCAUUUUACUUUUGUACAUCCAUUGGUCAAAAAGGAAAGUUGUUUCAGAGGUUAUUCAUUUUGCUGAUUGUUUUUCCCUUUGGAAUAAUAUGCACUGAUGAAUCAUUCAAAAUAAGAUUAAAAAUAAAUAAAUAAUAAUAGACUGUAAAAAAGAUGUUUUCAAACUUGUAAAUAAAACUAAAAUUACCGC